GGCGAACGCUGGCGGCGUGCUUAACACAUGCAAGUCGAACGGUGAAGCGCCUUCCUUUUUGGUGGGUGUGGAUGAGUGGCGAACGGGUGAGUAACACGUGAGUAACCUGCCCCCUUCUUCUGGAUAACCGCAUGAAAGUGUGGCUAAUACGGGAUAUUCUGGGUCUGUCGCAUGAUGGGUCUGGGAAAGAUAUUGUUUCGGUGGGGGAUGGGCUCGCGGCCUAUCAGCUUGUUGGUGGGGUGAUGGCCUACCAAGGCGGUGACGGGUAGCCGGCCUGAGAGGGUGGACGGUCACACGGGGACUGAGACGCGGCGCAGACUCCUACGGGAGGAAGAAGUGGGGAAUAUUGCACAAUGGGCGCGAGCCUGAUGCAACGACGCCGCGUGAGGGAUGGAGGCCUUCGGGUUGUGAACCUCUUUCGCCAGUGAAGCAGGCCUGCCUUGUAUGUGGGUGGGUUGACGGUAGCUGGAUAAGAAGCGCCGGCUAACUACGUG
RNAcentral lists this ribosomal RNA (494 nucleotides) under uncultured bacterium. Its description in RNAcentral is "partial 16S ribosomal RNA". It matches the Rfam family "Bacterial small subunit ribosomal RNA", at positions 28 to 507 of the family's 1533-position model. The record is from RNAcentral.